Molecule: ribosomal RNA, 730 nt
Filed under: Rhodococcus sp. DEE5301
Lineage: Bacteria; Bacillati; Actinomycetota; Actinomycetes; Mycobacteriales; Nocardiaceae
Description: bacterial SSU rRNA
Rfam family: Bacterial small subunit ribosomal RNA
Source: RNAcentral
CCCAGCUUGCUGGGUGGAUUAGUGGCGAACGGGUGAGUAACACGUGGGUGAUCUGCCCUGCACUUCGGGAUAAGCCUGGGAAACUGGGUCUAAUACCGGAUAGGACCUCGGGAUGCAUGUUCCGGGGUGGAAAGGUUUUCCGGUGCAGGAUGGGCCCGCGGCCUAUCAGCUUGUUGGUGGGGUAACGGCCCACCAAGGCGACGACGGGUAGCCGGCCUGAGAGGGCGACCGGCCACACUGGGACUGAGACACGGCCCAGACUCCUACGGGAGGCAGCAGUGGGGAAUAUUGCACAAUGGGCGCAAGCCUGAUGCAGCGACGCCGCGUGAGGGAUGACGGCCUUCGGGUUGUAAACCUCUUUCAGUACCGACGAAGCGCGAGUGACGGUAGGUACAGAAGAUGCACCGGCCAACUACGUGCCAGCAGCCGCGGUAAUACGUAGGGUGCGAGCGUUGUCCGGAAUUACUGGGCGUAAAGAGCUCGUAGGCGGUUUGUCGCGUCGUCUGUGAAAACCCGCAGCUCAACUGCGGGCUUGCAGGCGAUACGGGCAGACUUGAGUACUGCAGGGGAGACUGGAAUUCCUGGUGUAGCGGUGAAAUGCGCAGAUAUCAGGAGGAACACCGGUGGCGAAGGCGGGUCUCUGGGCAGUAACUGACGCUGAGGAGCGAAAGCGUGGGUAGCGAACAGGAUUAGAUACCCUGGUAGUCCACGCCGUAAACGGUGGGCGCUA